Molecule: ribosomal RNA, 363 nt
Filed under: uncultured Pelotomaculum sp.
Lineage: Bacteria; Bacillati; Bacillota; Clostridia; Eubacteriales; Desulfotomaculaceae
Description: bacterial SSU rRNA
Rfam family: Bacterial small subunit ribosomal RNA
Source: RNAcentral
UCGGGUGACAGGGAGACAGGUGGUGCAUGGUUGUCGUCAGCUCGUGUCGUGAGAUGUUGGGUUAAGUCCCGCAACGAGCGCAACCCCUACGUUUAGUUGCUAACGCGUGAAGGCGAGCACUCUAGACGAACUGCCGUUGACAAAACGGAGGAAGGUGGGAUGACGUCAAAUCAUCAUGCCCCUUAUGUUCUGGGCUACACACGUGCUACAAUGGCCGGUACAGACGGAGGCGAAGCCGCGAGGCGGAGCAAAUCCGAAAAAGCCGGUCUCAGUUCGGAUUGCAGGCUGCAAUUCGCCUGCAUGAAGUCGGAAUCGCUAGUAAUCGCAGGUCAGCAUACUGCGGUGAAUACGUUCCCGGGCCUU